RNAcentral lists this ribosomal RNA (358 nucleotides) under uncultured Glomeromycotina. RNAcentral's name for it is "LSU rRNA". The record is from RNAcentral. Lineage: Eukaryota; Fungi; Glomeromycota.
UUUUGAAAGGAACGAUUGAAGCCAGUCGUACCGACGGAAAAUCAACUUCUCGGGUGCCUAUCGUGGGUGACGUCUGAGCCUCACGGUCUUCGUUGCUUGUGUUGUUGGUACCUUUGGGGCGUACUUUUUCGUAUGGUAGGUCAACAUCUAUUUUGAUCGUCAUAAAAUGAUUGGAGGAAUGUAGCUUUGAUUUCGAUCGAAGUGUUAUAGCCUUUGGUAUAUGUGACGAUUGGGAUCGAGGAUUGCAACGAAUACCCUUUGGGCUAUCCGUCUGACCUCUGAAAGUCGCUUGGGUGUCGAAAGCUUGCUUAUGGCUAUGUGUUGGCGGUCAACAGGUUAGAACGCGAUUACAUUCGUU